CGUGUAGGCGGUAUGUUAAGUCAUGUGUGAAAUCCCUCGGCUCAACCGGGGAACGACGCAUGAAACUGGCAAGCUAGAGUACCAAAGAGGGUGGUGGAAUUCCCGGUGUAGCGGUGAAAUGCGUAGAUAUCUGGAGGAACACCGGUGGCGAAGGCGGCAUCCUGGACCAACACUGACGCUGAGGAGCGAAAGCCAGGGGAGCAAACGG
RNAcentral lists this ribosomal RNA (208 nucleotides) under uncultured bacterium. RNAcentral describes it as "partial 16S ribosomal RNA". It matches the Rfam family "Bacterial small subunit ribosomal RNA", at positions 568 to 775 of the family's 1533-position model. The record is from RNAcentral.